Molecule: long non-coding RNA, 2598 nt
Organism: Quercus robur (English oak)
Lineage: Eukaryota; Viridiplantae; Streptophyta; Magnoliopsida; Fagales; Fagaceae
Exons: 2
Source: RefSeq, a predicted model, not a curated record
UCACCAAGCCUCGCUUUUCUCUCCGAUCACCAAGCCAUCGCUGUCACCAAGCCUCGCUUUUCUCUCCGAUCAACAAGCCGCUGUUCGAAUCACCAAGCCUCUGCCGAUUCACCCUCACCCAUCUCCAAAUCCGUUUUCACUGUCACCAAGCCUCGCUAUUCUCUCCGAUCACCAAGCCGCUGUCACCAAGCCUCGCUUUUCUCUCCGAUCAAGAAGCCGCUGUCCAAAUCACCAAGCCUCUGCCUCUGCCGAUCCACCCUCACCCAUCUCCAAAUCCGUUUCACUGUCACCGAGCUUCGCUUUUCUCUCCGAUCACCAAGCCGCUGUCACCAAGCCUCGCUUUUCUCUCCGAUCACCAAGCCGCUGUCCGAAUCACCAAGCCUCUGCCUCUGCCUCUGCCUCUGCCUCUGCCGAUUCACCGAAGCUUCGUCGGUCUCUCAAAUAAAAUCAAAAUCAAAAUCAAAGCAAUUUACUAGAGGUGGGAUUCAGCUUCAUUACGAGGGUUUUCGCUUGCUGUCGGAUUAGCAUCUUCAGAAAGUCUGCUCAGGUUCAACUCUAUGAUUUUGUUUGAUUUCUAUAUAUUUUUGCAGAGAAUAUAUAUUAUAUCCGAAGUGGCUGUGUAAAGGGCUUAUAUUUUGUAACAAAAAAUUACUGUGUAAAGGGCUUAUAUCCGAAGUUGUUUGAGAAUUUUGUAAUAUAUGAUGUGCUGAAAUGGUGUUGUUUGGAUUCAUUGUUCCGGUUCAAGGUACAAUAAGGAUUAGGGAAGCCUAGUAGGAUUUAGAUUAAGGCGUUGAGGAAGUGCUUGACAAAGUCUCUGUGAAUCUCAUCUAGUUAUUGAUAAUGUGUCUAUUAAUUACCUGAUGAAGUUUUAGUUUCUAUAAUAUCUCGCUUGACUUUGAAAGAAGCAGGAAGAAGUAGCAUUAUUUAAGAUGGAAAAGGAUGUCAAGAUUUUAGUGUAGAAAAAGGCAAAAGGCAAUAUUUGUCUAAGUGAAGCAAGGCCUCAAAUUCUAAAUAUAGUUAUUAUACUAAGAAUGAACUCAAAUCAUACGUGUCUAAUACCCUGGAAUUUUAUAUUAAAGUCUUUGUGGCUCUACAAAUGUGUGCUACAUGAGAAAAAAUUAAUCAACAAUAAGCUUUACAACAAGCUAGGCACAGUUUGAAUUGAUGCUGGAGUGCUCUUGCACAUGUUAAUGUUAUGAGCUUAUUUUCGUUGUUUAAUUGAGAUAGGUUGUUGCCUUUUCUCACAGUUAUGAGCUCCGAAAUUUUCUUCGUCUACUCUCUCUCUCACAGUAUGGAUAUAUUUUUCACAAUUUCCUCCAACAGACUUUCAAUAAAAAUUUCAAUUGAAGCGUUGUUGAUGCAAAUGGAACCAUAAUCUUUUUCACUAAUUAUUAUUUAAUUAUAUUUUUCAUAUUAGUGCUUUUAUUUUUUUGGAUUGGUUAGUUACACACCCACCCAAUGGGUCUUGAACCCUUGACCUCACCCUCCACCUACCAUCCAACACUUGUAAGGGGAGGAAGUGACAAUUGUGCUGGAGCUCACUGUCAAUUUUUUCCCCCCCAUAUUUUAUAUUUCACGUCUUAGUGACCUUUGUUAGGCAUCAUCUGUGGUGAGAUGACUGGAUUUAGUGGUUUUAUUGGACUUUGGGAAAUGAUGCCAAAACUUAAAGAGUGACUGAAGCAUAAGCUCUGCUGAAUAUUAUUUGCAUGUCAGUCUGAUCCCAAAUUCUCUGUGGUUCUUUUAUAUUGAUAUACAUACAUAUAUAUUUUUAUUUUUUAUGAUAAUCUUUUGUGAAUAGUGACAAGAUUGGUAGUCUCUUCUAUGUUCUUGUUUGUGUUAAUGGGUUGUUGUGGUAAACUUACAUCAUUUGACUUUUGUAAUUUGUUGUUUAUUUCGGACUUUGGGAAGUGAUGAGAAGAUAAAAACUGAUUGGAAAAGUCACCAGCAAUGCUGAAAUUAUUCAUUUGCACGUCAGUCUGAUCCCAGGUUUCAAUGUUUAUGACUUAUCUAUUCCAUAUUAGUGUCUAUUUUUGUACUUUACUUCUUAGCAACAUUUGUUAGCUAUUCGACUAUCUGUGGUGAGAUGACUGGAUUUAGUGUUUUUAUUGGAGUUUGGGAAAUGAUGCCAAAACCAAAAAAUUGUGACUGAGGUGUAAGCUUUGCUUAUAAUAAGAUUGAUUAUAUGGAGUCUAUAUUGUUAUGCUGAAGGGUUUCAUUUUUGCUUAUAAUAAGAUUGAAAAACUUGUAUGCUGAAGGGUUUCAGGAUAAUGGAGUCUAUAUUGUCAGCUUGAGCUUAAAAUCUUCUCUCUGACUCUCUUAAAUUCUUUUCUGGUCAUUAUAUUGAGAAUAAACUUAAUUGAUUUUUCUUUUAUUCGUAAUUGCUAGAUUUGAAGUGCUCCAAAUGUUUGGUACCAUGCCUUUGUGUAUGUAUACCCAAUCCAUAAGCCUUGGGGAUGUACGUUUAAAUUUAGAUCCAAUCCAUAUAUAUGUGGAUUAUAAAAGUUGGUAGGUUGAGUACAUUGUUAUUUGGCAGGUUGCAUGUAUAUAUAUGUAUGUGAAAUUUAAAAAUUGGCAGGUUGAAUAUAUUGAUAUUUGGCA